UCCGAGUUGUCCCCGGCAGUCUCUUUGGAGUCCCCACCAUUACCUGAUGGCAACUAGUGAUGGGGGUUGCGCUCGUUGCGGGACUUAACCCAACACCUCACGGCACGAGCUGACGACAGCCAUGCAGCACCUGUGUCCAGGUUCCCUUUCGGGCACACCGAACUCUCAUCCGGCUCCCUGGCAUGUCAAGGGUAGGUAAGGUUCUUCGCGUUGCAUCGAAUUAAUCCACAUCAUCCACCGCUUGUGCGGGUCCCCGUCAAUUCCUUUGAGUUUUAACCUUGCGGCCGUACUCCCCAGGCGGUCAACUUCACGCGUUAGCUUCGUUACUAAUGGGUUUAACCCCACCAACAACCAGUUGACAUCGUUUAGGGCGUGGACUAC
RNAcentral lists this unclassified non-coding RNA (381 nucleotides) under uncultured Gammaproteobacteria bacterium. RNAcentral's name for it is "contains 16S-23S intergenic spacer region". The record is from RNAcentral. Lineage: Bacteria; Pseudomonadati; Pseudomonadota; Gammaproteobacteria.